ACCUGUUGUCGGAAUUCGGCCAAGACCGGCCACGGGAAUUUGAUGUUCUUUAUCGAUUUUACAUUCCUAUCAGCAGUUAUCAUGGGGAGGUGAAUCAAAAUUGUUAUUUCUGUCUUUGCGAUGUUAAAGAAAAAGAUGAGUUCAGAGAGCUGAGGUGCAAACAUGUCUUCCACAAAGAUUGCUUGGACAAGUGGGUACUUUAUGGUCAGGAAAACUGACCGUUGUGUCAGAAUUGUUUGACGGCAGCCGCAAUGAAUGUUCCUUUAAAGCUAAAUAAUAAAUAGGUAACAUAGAAUCCAAUUAGAUUUCUGAUUGGAGUUUUACUAUCUUGAGAUUAAAAAAAUUACCCUUUGCAAAAAAAAAUAUAUUAUCGAAUAAAUUAAACAUGCAUGCCUAAGGGCUAGUCACUACUAGAAAAGACACCUUGUAUGGUUAAGAAAAGUCAUCCGUGGCGGAAAUCCAUCACGAUAAGUCCGUUACGAGGAAAUCCAUCAUGACAAUGGUUGAACUGCCACGAAAAAUCUGCCACCUAUUUCUCCCCCCUGAUUUCCAACCGAAAAAAUUAUCAAUGGUAGAAAUCCGUCACAAGUUCGCAAGAUUUUCGCGGGAACCAAAAAUACAAAACUUUUCGUGGCAAAAGUCCGUCAUACAAGGUCAUUUUUCGUAGUUAGCGGCGAGAAUGGACCGAGGUCGACCUGAGUCACGAUUGUUAAGGUUGGAUUACAUGUCUAAUUUUCCGGCCCUAAAAUUUGAUAUUGACCUGCCUCCUGGUGACUCGAUCGAGACAUAAUGACAUGACUAUUUUUCAAAUCAGGUCGGGUUUGGGAAGCCCGAACAAGGGUAUUAUAAUUUAAU
Molecule: long non-coding RNA, 855 nt
Filed under: Zostera marina
Lineage: Eukaryota; Viridiplantae; Streptophyta; Magnoliopsida; Alismatales; Zosteraceae
Description: long non-coding RNA (ZMAR_LNC002906)
Source: RNAcentral